This 235-nucleotide ribosomal RNA is filed under the name uncultured Lactobacillus sp. RNAcentral describes it as "partial 16S ribosomal RNA". It matches the Rfam family "Bacterial small subunit ribosomal RNA", at positions 127 to 354 of the family's 1533-position model. The record is from RNAcentral. Lineage: Bacteria; Bacillati; Bacillota; Bacilli; Lactobacillales; Lactobacillaceae.
UGCCCAAGAGAUCGGGAUAACACCUGGAAACAGAUGCUAAUACCGGAUAACAACAGAUGAUGCCUAUCAACUGUUUAAAAGAUGGUUCUGCUAUCACUCUUGGAUGGACCUGCGGUGCAUUAGCUAGUUGGUAAGGCAACGGCUUACCAAGGCAAUGAUGCAUAGCCGAGUUGAGAGACUGAUCGGCCACAUUGGGACUGAGACACGGCCCAAACUCCUACGGGAGGCAGCAGAC